GGAUGUGAGGGCGAUCUGGCUGCAACAUCUAUCACUCCAUUGAUCACCAGGGUUGAUUCUGCUGAUCUGGCUGGGUAGGCGGGUGUCCCCUUCCUCCCUCACCGCUCCAUGUGUGUCCCUCUGGAAGCUGCGCUCUCAGUCGAAGAGGACGACCUUCCCCAGUAGAGGAGAGGACCGAGAGGACCGUUCUUCAGUCAAGGGUAUACGAGUAGCUGCGUUCCCCUGCUAGAACCUCCCUCCAAAUAAGCUCUCAAGGUCCAUUUGUAGGAGAAUGUAGGGUAGUCAAGUUUCCAAGACUCCAGACACAUCCAAAUGAGGCAGUGCACGUGGCAGUCUGCCUUUCUUA
Molecule: unclassified non-coding RNA, 346 nt
Organism: Mustela putorius furo (domestic ferret)
Lineage: Eukaryota; Metazoa; Chordata; Mammalia; Carnivora; Mustelidae
Gene: 7SK
Rfam family: 7SK RNA
About the family: 7SK was discovered as an abundant small nuclear RNA in the mid-70s but a possible function has only recently been suggested.
Source: Ensembl